GGGGAAUAUUGCACAAUGGAGGAAACUCUGAUGCAGCAACGCCGCGUGAGUGAUGAAGGUUUUCGGAUCGUAAAACUCUGUUGUUAGGGACGAACAAGUACCGUUCGAAUAGGGCGGUACCUUGACGGUACCUAACCAGAAAGCCACGGCUAACUACGUGCCAGCAGCCGCGGUAAUACGUAGGUGGCAAGCGUUGUCCGGAAUUAUUGGGCGCAAAGCGCGCGCAGGCGGUUUCUUAAGUCUGAUGUGAAAGCCCCCGGCUCAACCGGGGAGGGUCAUUGGAAACUGGGGAACUUGAGUGCAGAAGAGGAGAGUGGAAUUCCACGUGUAGCGGUGAAAUGCGUAGAGAUGUGGAGGAACACCAGUGGCGAAGGCGACUCUCUGGUCUGUAACUGACGCUGAGGCGCGAAAGCGUGGGGAGCAAAC
This 426-nucleotide ribosomal RNA is filed under the name uncultured bacterium. RNAcentral describes it as "bacterial SSU rRNA". It matches the Rfam family "Bacterial small subunit ribosomal RNA", at positions 356 to 773 of the family's 1533-position model. The record is from RNAcentral.